Molecule: long non-coding RNA, 267 nt
Organism: Octodon degus (degu)
Lineage: Eukaryota; Metazoa; Chordata; Mammalia; Rodentia; Octodontidae
Exons: 3
Source: RefSeq, a predicted model, not a curated record
CAUUCAGUCUUGGAAGGGUCUUGGAGUCUGCCGUCCUGUCCUCCUGAAGGCUGCUUCCUCUGCGUCCUCUGCGGAGAAGCUACACAGCUGCUGUCUAAUUAGCCGGAGCUCAGCACCCCUCUGCCUCAUCCCCCUGAUCUUGGAUUCAGUUCCUCGUGCUUCCAGCCCUGCCUGCCUCCUUCUUAACCUGUCCGUUGGCCUAGUCACUGCCCAGGACUUACUGUGUAACCUCCACAAAUACUACAUAUAAAAAUCCACACUUCGCCU